CCACUGUCCUUGGGAAAUUUAUUCAGUGCCUUCACCAUUUACUGAUGAACAUGAUGGCAUACUGAAGAGUCUAAAUUGGAAAGAGAAUGGAGAGGGUAGAGAGACCAGAGAGUGACAGAAGAAAGCUGAUCUUCAGCCUCCGUGUAAAACAUCAAGGAAGAAAUGAUUGAGAGAAUGGUGCAAUGAGUUCUGUGCAGGAAAAGGGAAGCUUCCUGGAGGAAAUGGGCUUGUGCUGAAUCUUCCAGUAAUGGGGAACAGAAAGCUGGAGUCUCUGGAAACCAACAGAACUUCCCUGCUUGUCAUGCCUCGUGAAAUUCAAGGAUUUCAGGAUAUUAAUUGUUUUGCCUCAGAAGUCAGGAACUGGUGAGAUCAAAGCUUUAUGCUGGAAACUCUUGGCUUUCAUUCCUUUUGGAGGAUAGACAUUGCUUGUCCUCAUGAAUAAAGAAGAUUUGUCAGCAACAAAAGGGAUUCUGAGACCAGUUUAGUAAAGAGGGAGGAUCUAACGUCUCCAGUCAUGAUGUAAAGCAAAGGAUAACCAGACUACAACCCACAGCUCCAGAGAAGCAAGCUAAGAAAAAAGACCUUAAGAGAGACACAUAGAGAGUCCUGCAAAGAAGAAAUAGAUGAGAUCUACAUGAGCAAACUGGGCAAUGCUUCAAUAUGAUGUGCCAAAUGAAUAACUGAUGGGGAAAGGAAGAUGCACGGAACUUCAAAUUAUAUAUACAUAUACAUAUAUAUGUAUAUAUACAUAUAUAUAUAUAUAAUGAAGCUAUGAUAUAAGAUAAACAACUGAUUGCUGAUUAUCCUACUUAAUUACAUUUCUACCAGACACAUGAAAAUAUCUCUUUGAAUACACACAUUAAGUAUUGAAUGUUUCUUAUAAUCUUUUCUGUUAAGCAUUUUAAAAUUAACAUUGUUGUGUUGACAAAACAGCACACAUUGGGAGUAGAUUAUCUACUCUUGGACUUGUACACUGGAGGUAGACACAUGAGGAUCAUGAGUUCAAAUGUAUCCUUCAAUCAUUACUGAAAUCUAUGCCAGGUUUAAUAUAAACAACACUAACUCAAGGGAAUUUGUGAAAACAUGAAAUCAAAACCAAACACCACAACCCACUACACUUUUCACAGAACAUCUUACUUGGAAAGUAUGAUCAUACACUGCCUGACAUUUAAAUAAACAAUGGACUAGUAAGAUGAUGGAUUUUUCAUUUUAUGUAUUACAGUAGAAAAAUAUAUAUCACUAAGUAAAAACACAAUGGAAGAUGAACAAAAGCCACAGAAGGAAUAUAAAGACCACAAAAGUAAAUUUAACUAAAAUGAAUUUGCCACACAUAUAGCACACUUUGGCAUCUUCCUCAAAUGUUUCAAAAUAGAAACAGGAAUGCAUUGAUCUCACCCAUCAGUCUUGACUAAACAUAGCAACUAAUUUACUUUUUUCAAGGCUAUGAUGAAAAGAAAAUGAAAUAAGAUCUUUUUCUUUAACCUGAAGACAACUGUGACGUCUAAAAUCUGUACCAAAUUGUUUACAUGAAUAAAAUUUUUCUUGUGCA
Long non-coding RNA from Peromyscus eremicus (cactus mouse), 1549 nucleotides. RefSeq lists it as uncharacterized. The transcript is spliced from 3 exons. The record is from RefSeq and is a predicted model, not a curated record. Lineage: Eukaryota; Metazoa; Chordata; Mammalia; Rodentia; Cricetidae.